This 6640-nucleotide long non-coding RNA is filed under the name Sus scrofa (pig). RNAcentral describes it as "lncRNA (ENSSSCG00040012651.1)". Lineage: Eukaryota; Metazoa; Chordata; Mammalia; Artiodactyla; Suidae. The record is from RNAcentral.
AGAAACAGUCAGACUGAUUUCCCCGCUGGUAAUCUCCAUCCCCGCUCCCCAAGCAUCCUCGGCACUCUUAGAAAUACGCCUUUUGCUUCGUCUUUCCUUAUAAAUAAAAGGCGAUGAAUGUAUCAAACAAAUAGGAUGGAUUUGUUCUAAAGUACAUCAUGGGGCAGAAAUGGCCAGGUUCUGGGCUAAGUAGUUUCCAUUGGACAGGCUCCACCGGGGAGCUGAAGUCUGAGUGCCACCUCCCCCUCAGAACACCCCCCGCCAGGGGACAUGCUGAGCCCCUCCCUGAGCAUCGCCAGCACCAAGUGUGGUACCCAGCACUGGAGACUGUGCAGCGGUCCGUGACUCGCUGCAGCGGAGCAGGGACACGCGGUGCAGCUCACGCCUGACGUCCCAUCGCAUGGACUCACACCUCACCACAGCUCCACAACACCCAGAGUGCCUCCCAGGGAGGAGGAGCACCCCCGAAAAGCCGAGAGCCCAGGGGGCUUCAAGGAGAGGGCGUGUCGAACAUCCAUUUCUGUCACUGUAAUUGUUGCUGCAGGUUGCUUCUAGGUCUGAACUGUCUACAGCAAAGGAACCUAACAGCCAACAGGCAGAUGGACUUGGCACCGUCUUAAGACUAAAAGCAGAAUUAUCAGUAAAAAUGAGAAGCUGUUCGAUACUCAACUGAAAUUACACGUCAAAAUUACGCGCCCUGAAUGUAUUAUAUGAGAAUCAUGUCCUUAGAAAAGUCCUUCCUUAGAAAAACUAUGUGUCCUGAAUACCUGACAGGCAUCUUGAAAAUUAAGGUUCAAGUGUGAAGGCAGAAAUUUUUUUUAUCAUUGCGAACAACUGAAGCAUUACAAAUGAAUGGUACAAAUGUAAACAGAUAUAAAAUGAAACGAAUCCCUUUAAGCAGUGCCACUUCAGUAACAGCGCCGCCUUGGGAAGAUAACAUUGUCACCUGGUAACUCCUCUAUUAAGGAAAAGCAACGAAAUUGGUUAGGAUGACACAGAACUGCCGCGGCGGCGCUUAGAAGCAUUCGUGGGGAUGUGUAUACCUGCCCUCGGUACACGUGCUCGCCUCAUACCACAGACGUCUCUGUUUAAAUACCAAAUGCUCACAGUGUCUUACUAUCUUGCAAGGCAGAAAAAUGGCAUGUGAGAGCUGGCCUGGAAAACAGGGGACACGAAAAGGAACACACAGCCUUAUCUUCCCCGCGGGAGUGCACGUGCCCGGUGACCUCCUCUGACGCCAGGAAUUCCUCAUCCAGUGGACACUUCGACCUCCAGUGUCUCUUGAUUUCAAGGUUUUCCAAAAAGGUAUGACAGCCCAUCUCCCCGACCGAUGUCACAGAGACCUGACCUCCUCUCCCCAUCACGGCCUCCCAGCAGCUCUGCUUCUGCACACGGAACUGCACGAACGGAUGGGGUUCACGAGAGCCGGGGUCGGGGCAAAGCUGAGACGUGAGCCUCAAGUCUAGGAAGUGGCCCACGUCUAGAGGAGCCUCAGGGAUGCGAAGACCCCUGCAAAUGAGUCCUGGCUCGGAGGCUGGGCAGAGCCACAGUGGGAACUCACAGCGCAGGAAGCGUGGACUGUGGUUAACGAAGAAGCCGCUUCGGAACCGGUGCGUGAACUCUGGCAGGUGUGCCGCGGCAGCAUCCGGCCUUAAUACCGGGAUCCUGAGCGUGGGACGCGUGGGGACACGUGGGGACUGGACUGCCUCCUCAAUGUCUCUACAAACCGGCCUAUUCUCAAAUGAAAACCACCAAAAAUGCUCCUCUUACUGAUGGAUUUUGACCCAGGUGAAUUAUUUCUAGGAUAUUAUCUACAGCCACAGCUAGGAUUUUUACAAAAUCUUAUCAUUUAAGAGACAGUGAAACUUGUGACAAGAUCUCUUUCCUUUGAUUCUAUAACAGUCUUUUUCCAUCCUUAUUUUUACACAAUUAAUAAAGCAUUAGGUGAGAUGAGCUGGCAAAAUUCACCAAAACUGUAACAUUUUGAGCUACUAAACAAAAAAUAAUUGAUCAUCAGUUUCUUGAAUUAUACACAAAAGUUUCUUCCGGGGACGAGGGCGCUGUGGAAAUGGCUCAUUCUGAGCGCUCUUCCAUCACACGCAGUAGUUAGCAGUGGCGGAAAUCACUGUAUUAAAACGGGGAGGGGGGCGGCAUCCAUGACAGUGAAAAGGACACGGCUUCUCAAGGUCAUACACGGGCCAGGGACUGCUCUGCGGACAAGGCCCUACAAACUGAACAGUUACGGGAAUCGAAAACGACCAGCGCAUUCCUGAGUCUUUUAUCAGAUGAAUCUGCAAAAUGAUUCUAACAUCUGUCACCUACUCCUGCGUAUCCCUCCGAGCCAGGGAUGAUGGACGAUGAAGAGGAAAGAAAACAGGAUGCAGACGCACGUGUGUGGAAUUUUCAGCGUUUCACUCUCAUAAAAUUCAUAGCAGUGAGGGGUCUGCGUGUUCCUUGCACUCAGGUGAAAUAAUCACUGUUCCCUGCUUUAACUCAUGUACGUUCAGUCAAAAGCAGAAAGUCUCGGCACUUUCGGUCUGAACCGCGUUACGCUAACAUGUUUAGCAACGGUCCUCAGCGCUGUGCGGGGGCCUCUUUCGCGAGACGAGCUCGCCCAUCCUGCUAAGCUCUGAGCUUCGGUCGUUCACCGCCACCUGGAGAAACAUGCUUCCACCUUCGAAGCACCAUCCUGCCGUGUCGAGGCGAACAAGGACACAGAUGUAGGCCCUGCCAUCUGCUGCAGCAAGGAUCGCCCACAGACGUUCAAGGGCUGCUUCCUUCCCAGGAGUUCACUGCCACGUUGUUUACAGAAUUUCAGAGAGAGGGGCCUGCGAUCUGUCCGAAUGGAGCAUGUGCCCGGCACAGUGUGUCAGCAAGCAGUGGCAUUUCUGGAACAGCCUUGGGGCAAAGGCACACAGUGUGGACACAUGUGCGCUGCAGGAUGUGUCCUUUUGCAAGCCACCCGGGCUGAGAAGGCAGAUCUAAUGUAAUGAUACCGGGAAACAAAUUUUGGGGGCCAGCUCAUGAGAACGGGUUGCUCUGGGUUGGCAGUGGGGGCUUGCGGGAGUUUGAUGACCACGGAGCUCCGCGUGGGCGACGGAGAAGCAAUCCGCCCAGGCGUGUUUCGACUCUUACGACUGAGAGGCUGAGACCAGGCACCUGAGUUAGAGGCCGAGGCGGAGCACAGGGGCAGGGACGAGAGCCGGCUCACUCAGGAGCUGCAGAGAGGGGCAGCCUCCGGCGCUCAGAUGACACCCAAACGCCCACGAGGGGAGAAAGCGUAUGCACUGCCGACUCAUCGGGAAAAAGACGAUUUUUUCCCCUUUGACACUGAUUAGGAAGGGAGCAGAAAAAAAGAGCUGAUAAGCACCUAAAGGAAAGAGUUUUCGUGUCCAACGAUUUUUAUCAUAGAGACCAGCCGUGAGCGGUUUCCUGAGCACAGCCUGGAAGAGCCGGGAAGGAAAUUUAUAUGAAAAUACUGGUCUUUUUCCCAGAUGUUUCCCAUGUCUAGACAGUGAACAGAGAUGAAUAUCUGUAGUCUUACUUCAUGUACCAAAAAUCUCCUCCUUUUAAAAUGUCUGCCUAGACAUCCAGAGCGGGUGUGCCCUGGGAGUGACUGUCAAAGUAUGACUCAAACAAUAGGAAGCUAAGAUGAAUUCAUCCAUUUUCUGUGUUUUGUUUUUAUAGGGACAGCUGAUAGUUCCCUUGGUAUCAAGACUUCUCAAGAAGGGGGAAAAAUAAGAAACUGGGAAGAAAAACAGCUGACCCGAUUCCACGGCCUGAGCAGAAAGCCUCCUGUCAAGGGCUGUUUGUAAAAUUCAGCUUCAUCUGAAUUUUCCUGGGGCGUGAGGACAGUGCUGUUUCUAUUUCCAAGUCCUCACUGGGAGCGUAAUGGAAUUCCAGGGUGGAAAGAGACUUCGAGAAUUCGGCUGGUCCAGCCUUCAACUGCAGAGGCAGAGAUGGAGGCCCGGGGGUGGUUGUCGGUUGGGCAGAUAACCCCAUCAUGAGGCCAAGGAACGCUGUGGAAUUAUUCUGAAAAUGCAAGGCUGCCACACCCAGUCACAGCAGAGGUGCAGACUCACGGUCACCUGCGAAUGGGACAUCAGCCAACGUUUUAGAGUGUCCGCAGUUGCCUACGAGUGCAACGCUCCUCCCUCGACAGGCUGCCCCGACGGCUGCAGCGCCACGGGGCCCGCAGGGCAGGUGCCGGCGCGCGCUCGCCCUUCCCGGCCCGUCCUGACUGACGAGCCCCUGAACCCGUGACCCCGGGCGUCUAGCGUGUUUCUCCGCGUCCGCGCCGGCACCCUGCUGCCCGAUGGCUUUCGUCGAGCCCAGUCCCUGCCAUUCACCCACAGGGAGCCGUCGCGCUCCCGGGCGACGGCACACCUGCCUCUAGAUGCGGCCGCGUGUCCCCCGAGACUAGAGAACAAAGUGUGUGAGGAAGCGUCUCAAUGAUCACGCUCGGCCGGCCUCUCCGCCCCCCGCCCCCCAGGCACAGGUCGGUGAACCCCGGCCGGGCUGACACGACCCCGGGAACCCCGCCCUCUCCCUCCUCCACUCACGCAUCCCGUCCGCAACAUUUGAGGAUGAUGGCGUGACGCCUUCUGAUGUGUCUUUGCAUAAGCUGCGGUUUUAUUAACUUUCCUGCAGGACUCGCUAAAGAACGAAAACCACGCAAACCUCUCAGGUUUCGUCCGUCAUGUGCGGAUCGCUCUUGGGGUCUCACCUUGAUGGACUCAGAGCCGCCGCAGUGCGUUUUGCUCCAGGAGCAGGUAGGUGUGCAUGCCCCAGCUGUUUGCAGAUGGGCAGUGAGGGUGUCAAAAUUACGGAGCAGCCGGCACCUCCGCGUCCAGCAAUAACGCACCAUCACCGAGAAAGAAACCGACAGUCCCGCACUGGCUGCAGCGGGCCAGCCACCGACCCUCCGGACGGCGGCCCGAAACGCUGGGGAGCGCUGGCGGCGCCUGCUGGCCCUUCCUUCACACGGAGUUCUGAGUGUGGCCGGGACCGCAGUGACUCCUGAGCUAACUGCCUUGAGUCCGCAGCACAGACCUCAAGUGGGGGCCCUCUUUCUUCCCAUCGUUUAGACGGGGAGAAGGAGGAAGAGCAGAGCUGAGGUCCGUGGUACCCUCGCUGCUACCCACGCCACCCUCACUCCAGCCCGUGGGUCAGCCCCCCAGGGCUCAGCCCCCAGACUCCCCACUCCCCGCUCCGUCGCUUAACUGAAAACCUCCCCCCAAAGACCGCCUCCGAAGGAUUAUUUGAGAAAUACAAGUGGGCGCAAAGAAGACCCCAGGAGAUGCUUACGGAAACUACACAUUAAAAAGCACUCGACCUUAUUCCCAAAUGUCUAGUGAUGAUGCACCUUCACUUCCAGUCCGUUAGUUAAGCAUGAGAAAGUCUUCCCGACAAAGGUGACACAGAAACACUGCCCCAGUCCUCUCUCUUCCUUUCUGUUAUGUUAAAACGGUGGGAGAGCGCAGAAGGAAGUGUCUGGGAAGCCAGGGUAGUAACACCGUUCUAGAAGCUCUCUGAACAGAGACGUGUGUGAUGAUGUGUCCGUGUCUUCUCCCCCGGCGAGCCUGGUGUCAGGCCCUCGUGAGCGCUGAAGGGCAGCGUCCGAAGCUUUUUGCUCCCGAUGUGUCUGUGCCCAAAGCCAGGCGUUCUUGUGGUUCUGCUGCGGUCACCCUGGGGCUGCUUUUCACCUUGGCCAAGGGCGUUCCCUCCCCCUCUGCUCGGAUGGGGAUUCUGGUUCCUUGGCUCCUCGGUCCCGUGGCGUUCCCGCGCCAGGAUUACCUUUCCGUUGCAGGGAAGACACCUGCCAGAGCGCCCUGAGCAACAGCACUUGGCAGGUCAUGACUUUUUUUGAGAACUUGCAUGUCUGAAAAUGUCUUUAUUGUAGUGGUUCCUGAUUUAUCGUUGGCUAGGUAUGAAAUUCUCAAUUCCCGGAGCAUUUUAAAGGUUUUGUUCCACUGUCUCCUAGCUCGAGGCGCUGCUGGAGAGAAAGCCAGUGCCAAUCUAGUAGCUCAUUCUUUUUGUGGGAUCUGCUUUUCACCCUUGGAAACUCUUAGGCUUUUUCAGACUAACUCUGAGCUCACACCUAAGAGGGCCUCCACCUUCUUACGAAUCAUGUGUCACACGCGCGCUGACAAAGAGCUUCACGUUCUCAUUUGUGAAGCGUGUGAUGCAGCACGAUGGAAACUGCAUUUAAAUGGUGCCCCGUAACCCUGCUCCGUGAUGGGAUUGCCAGGGUUGUGUUCAGUGGAAUAAAAGCGUUACCAGGAUCUGUGGCCUCAGCCCCGUCACUGGAGGACUCCCGGAGCUUCUCAUCCUCAAUCCGCGGUCCUCGAGCAGCGUGUGCUGGGCCUUUCCCCAGCGUUGAACUCAUCACCCGUCUGCGCGAGGUUAUUCCUUUUAACUGGGAUUUUCGUCCUCUUACCCACCCACCUUGUGGUUUUUGAGACUCGAAGCUCACCUCCUGGAGGAAGCCUCCCUUGGCUCGUGCUUACAAGAGUGGGUGUUGAUAACCUGUUCCUGCCCCACACGUGCGCUGGGUCCCUGUCCCUGGUCAGAAUUAGCCACACCUUUUCAGAUGCUCAUAUUGAAAAGGUUCAGCAUCGAUUAAAACACUCCUCGUGCU